CAGCAGCCGCGGUAAUACGUAGGUGGCAAGCGUUGUCCGGAAUUAUUGGGCGUAAAGCGCGCGCAGGUGGUUUAAUAAGUCUGAUGUGAAAGCCCACGGCUCAACCGUGGAGGGUCAUUGGAAACUGUUAAACUUGAGUGCAGGAGAGAAAAGUGGAAUUCCUAGUGUAGCGGUGAAAUGCGUAGAGAUUAGGAGGAACACCAGUGGCGAAGGCGGCUUUUUGGCCUGUAACUGACACUGAGGCGCGAAAGCGUGGGGAGCAAACAGGAUUAGAUACCCGGGUAGUCCCUGUCUCUUAUAC
This 301-nucleotide ribosomal RNA is filed under the name uncultured bacterium. RNAcentral's name for it is "partial 16S ribosomal RNA". It matches the Rfam family "Bacterial small subunit ribosomal RNA", at positions 509 to 807 of the family's 1533-position model. The record is from RNAcentral.